UUUGAUAUUUCAUUAUUCAGUAUCUGGAUUUAAUAGACCCUUUGGCUAUCUUAUCUGCCUAAUUGCUGGCAGAUAUUGCUGCAACUUGAAUCAGUACUGACAGAAAUGUCCUGGGUUGAUCCAUAAUAAUCUCUUUUGAGACCAUUUCAUCACAGAAUCUUCCUAUUAUUCUGACUACUACCCGAACCAGUACCUGCCCGCCUCCGGCUCCUUUUCCUCUAUAGGCUUGCAUCCAGGCUCUGUGCAGUACACGGUGUUCCUAUACGCAUGCACAAGAGGAUCUGUUUCCUCUUUUUCCCAUCCCCUCUUCUUUACAUCUGGGAUUUUCCAUCUGGGACCCUGAGCCAGUCACGGCUAACUAUCCAGGUUAUUCAGUCCAUUUUUUCAGACUACUGCCCCCUAUUGGUUCCUGACGAAGCCCUUUCGGG
This is a long non-coding RNA of Rana temporaria (common frog), 428 nucleotides long. RefSeq lists it as uncharacterized. NCBI's taxonomy places the organism in Eukaryota, Metazoa, Chordata, Amphibia, Anura, Ranidae. The record is from RefSeq and is a predicted model, not a curated record. The transcript is spliced from 4 exons.